ACCCGCAUGGCGAAAUGGAUUAACGCGUCGGUCUCCUAAACCGAAGAUUCCGGGUUCGAGUCCCGGUGUGGGUA
This 74-nucleotide transfer RNA is filed under the name Lichtheimia ramosa. RNAcentral's name for it is "tRNA-Arg (CCT) (tRNA-Arg-CCT-1-1)". It matches the Rfam family "tRNA". From Rfam's summary of the family: Transfer RNA (tRNA) molecules are approximately 80 nucleotides in length. Their secondary structure includes four short double-helical elements and three loops (D, anti-codon, and T loops). Lineage: Eukaryota; Fungi; Mucoromycota; Mucoromycetes; Mucorales; Lichtheimiaceae. The record is from RNAcentral. RNAcentral also lists the same sequence under 2 other names.